Molecule: long non-coding RNA, 828 nt
Organism: Neofelis nebulosa (Clouded leopard)
Lineage: Eukaryota; Metazoa; Chordata; Mammalia; Carnivora; Felidae
Exons: 4
Source: RefSeq, a predicted model, not a curated record
GCAGUUCUCCGUUUUCCUCCUCCCUCCAGCCCGCUUUUAAGGUGAGCCUUCUCUAGCUGCUUUGUCCUCUUUUGAUUCCUUUUCUCUCCUCCUCACAUCCUGCAAGGGGGGCAGCAGGGAUGGGAACAGCUAACUUCACAUCAGAAAAGGGAGCAUCAGGAAUUGUCGGGCUUUCAAUGUGCCCACUAUAAACGAAGCAGACAAUACCAGGCAAAAAUAGUGGAACUGACACAUGCAAACAACUGUGUGGACCAAAAAGAGUCUGAAGAAACAGAGGUCCAAUGGAAGGACUAAAACAGGGACUCAUCCAAAAGGAAGAGUGAGGCACCUUAUGUGGAGAAGAGAUUGAUUGUGUCCUUCUACCAGAACAUCUCCCAGAUUCAAGGAUAACCGAACUACUUCCAAAAGUGGUUGCAAUACUUUAAGCAAUGUUUGAGGGUUCCAAUUUCUCCACAUUCUCACCAAUACUCGUUGGAGUCCAUCUUUUUUAUUACAGCCAUCCUGUGGAGGUGAAGUGGUAUCUUAUUGUGGCUUUGAUUUGAAUUUCCCUAAUGACGGAUAAUGCUGGUCAUGUUUUCAUGUAGUUGGUCACUUGCAUAUUUUCUUGGGAAAAUAUAUAUGUUUAGAUACUUUGCCUAUUUUUAAUUGGGUUAUCUGAUUUUGUUUUUAUUAUAGUUUUGUAUAUUCUGGAUACAAGUCCCUUCUAAUUUGCAAAUAUUUUCUCUCAUUAUGUAGAUUGUCUUUUCAACUUCUUGACCGUUUUAUUUAAAAUAUAAAACUUGGGGCACCUGGAUGGCUCAGUUGGUUAAGCUUCCGACUCUUGGUUUG